UAUCUUCGGACCUCAGGCUGUCAGAUGAGCCUAGGUCGGAUGAGCUAGGUGGUGGGGUGAAGGCCUACCAAGGCGACGAUCCGUAACUGGUCUGAGAGGAUGAUCAGGUCACACUGGAACUGAGACACGGUCCAGACUCCUACGGGAGGCAGCAGUGGGGAAUAUUGGACAAUGGGCGAAAGCCUGAUCCAGCCAUGCCGCGUGUGUGAAGAAGGUCUUCGGAUUGUAAAGCACUUUAAGUUGGGAGGAAGGGCAGUAAGUUAAUACCUUGCUGUUUUGACGUUACCAACAGAAUAAGCACCGGCUAACUUCGUGCCAGCAGCCGCGGUAAUACGAAGGGUGCAAGCGUUAAUCGGAAUUACUGGGCGUAAAGCGCGCGUAGGUGGUUCAGCAAGUUGGAUGUGAAAUCCCCGGGCUCAACCUGGGAACUGCAUCCAAAACUACUGAGCUAGAGUACGGUAGAGGGUGGUGGAAUUUCCUGUGUAGCGGUGAAAUGCGUAGAUAUAGGAAGGAACACCAGUGGCGAAGGCGACCACCUGGACUGAUACUGACACUGAGGUGCGAAAGCGUGGGGAGCAAACAGGAUUAGA
This 590-nucleotide ribosomal RNA is filed under the name Pseudomonas aeruginosa. Its description in RNAcentral is "bacterial SSU rRNA". It matches the Rfam family "Bacterial small subunit ribosomal RNA", at positions 202 to 782 of the family's 1533-position model. The record is from RNAcentral. Lineage: Bacteria; Pseudomonadati; Pseudomonadota; Gammaproteobacteria; Pseudomonadales; Pseudomonadaceae.